UUUUUAAUAUAAGUGUGUCCCAUGCAAUGUUUGUCACAUUUUUGUGCUAAAA
Molecule: microRNA precursor, 52 nt
Filed under: Marmota monax (woodchuck)
Lineage: Eukaryota; Metazoa; Chordata; Mammalia; Rodentia; Sciuridae
Source: RNAcentral